Cyclopterus lumpus (lumpfish) is the source of this 1933-nucleotide long non-coding RNA. NCBI's taxonomy places the organism in Eukaryota, Metazoa, Chordata, Actinopteri, Perciformes, Cyclopteridae. The record is from Ensembl.
CCCGUCCAUUGGAGUUGGUCUGCAUUGACUUUUGGUCGGCUGAGAACUCCAAAAACAGAUCUGUCGAUGUUUUGGUGAUAACUGACCAUUUCACGAGGAUGGCUCAAGCGUUUUCAUGUAAAGACCAGACAGCUAAGCAGGUGGCUAGGGUUCUAUGGGACCGGUACUUCUGUGUCUUCGGAUUCCCGGAAAGGAUCCAUAGUGAUCAAGGUGCUAACUUUGAGAGUCUGCUGAUUAGUGAGCUUCUCAGGGUCUCAGGUGUCAAGAAGUCGCACACAACUCCUUACCACCCAAUGGGGAAUGGGAGUGUGGAACGUUUCAACCGGACCUUGGGUGGCAUGAUUCGAGUAUUGCCCCCUGAAGAGAAGGCUGACUGGCCGCGACGCUUGCAGACUCUGACGUUCAUGUACAAUUGCACGGAACAUGAGACGACAGGUUAUUCCCCCUUCUACCUCAUGUUUGGCCGGAUCCCCCGCCUACCCGUUGAUGUCCUCUUUCGUGCUGUUCUUCAUGACUCUGCUGUAAUGAGCUAUGAGAAGUACGUGGCGAGUCUCGCCAAUGAUCUGAAAGAAGCAAUGGUUAUUGCUCAGGUCCAUGCUACAAAAGAGCAGAAUCGACAUACCCAGCUGUACAACAGGAGAGUAAAGGGAUCCAAUAUCAAGAUCGGUGACAGGGUGCUCUUGGCCAACAGAAAGGAAAGGGGUAAAAGAAAGCUUGCUGACAGGUGGGACUCGACCGUCUACACCGUGGUGGACGUGAAUACAGAGACGCACACGUACAGAGUCCGCGACACAAUCACUGGACGGGAGAAGGUGAUCCACAGAAACUUGCUGUUGCUGGUUAAUUUUCUCCCUGUGGGGGACACAGGUGAAAUGUCUGACCUGGCCUCAUCCUUGCUAGUUACAGGAUCCUCAGCUUCAGGAGAUGAUGGUGGUGAGGCCGAAGAGAUCUCGUCUGGGAGAGGGGAUGAGCCUCGUAAUGUGGCCAGUGAAAGCCUUGACACUGAAAGUGGCGGAGAACCUCCUGUGACUGUGAGAGAUGGACCCUUGACUGAUGCGGUAUCUGUGGAUUCGGAAAGGAGAACCAUUGAAUGGAUUACUCAGUUGUCUGUGCCAAGUCUGGCCGAGGCGGGCACUGCUGACAUGUCGAGUGUUACUUCUGACCUCCAGAACACCGCUGUCUCACUUGAGGACCACACAAACGAUCAGUCUGUGACUUGUGAUUCUUGCCCUUUGACUGCUGCGGAUGUCUCAACAGAUGUGAGACAGUCAGAUUUUGCGCUUGACACCAUGACACAGACGGAUAACACAUCUGACACGUUGCAUACUGUGGUUCGGGUUUCACCCACACACUGUGGUCGUUUUAAUGCACAGGCCAGGUCAAGGUUUGGUCGCUUAAUCAAGCCUGUGAACAGGCUCAUACAGACCAUGUCCAGGCAGGAUGUUGUCCAGGAGUAGCUCAAUGUUGAGGCUGUUUGCAACUCCAUGUUCCAGAUUUGUACUUUUUAAAACCAUAAGUCGGUAGCUUAUGUCUUUACGAGUCUGGAAAGUGUUGUAUUAGUAUGAUGUCCCACUGUUCUGUUUCUCUUGUGUCAUCAGCCUGUGCUGCACUGCACUUUGUGUUUGGGUCUUGUGGGGUGUACAAGGCACCCUGUUGCCAGUUGUUGGGUUGAGAGGCUAGCGCUGCUCUCGUACCACUUCAUCCUUAUGGGAUACAUUUUAUGUUGGUUUUCUUGAAGUUGGCCCUUUGUAAGUUGUCAAAUUGUAAUGUUUUCUUUGGCGUGCACUUUGUAGUUAGUGCUCAUGUUUGAUAAAAUUCAGUGGGGGUGAAUGUAACGGAGUUAGAAAUACACUCUGUUAUUUCUUAUUUUUGAUGUAUUAUAUCUUAUUUUUGUUUAUUAUUCAACGAUCCUGUUGAAGUGUGUGUUUGUGUG